Zalophus californianus (California sea lion) is the source of this 1329-nucleotide long non-coding RNA. RefSeq lists it as uncharacterized. Lineage: Eukaryota; Metazoa; Chordata; Mammalia; Carnivora; Otariidae. The record is from RefSeq and is a predicted model, not a curated record. The transcript has 9 exons.
GAAGAAGAAGACGACGACGACGACGAUGACAGAGGAGGAGGAGAAGAGGAAGGGGAAAAAGAAGAAGGGGGAAAAGGAAGAGGAAGAGAGGAAAAGGAAGAAGAAGGAAAAGAAGAGAGUGCUUGAAUGAUUGUAAAAGUGGCAGAAGGUUUUGAACUGCUGACUCAGCCAUAUGAGGAAAGAGCCAGGCCAUGUUAGCAGCAAACUAUAUCCUCUUGUAUCUUGCUGGGGUUGGUCUGUAAUAGCCAAAGUCCCCAGGGGGACGGAAUGACAGAAUGCAGCUGAGUGGCUUGGAAGAAAUAUGACCAGAGAAGAAUUUUCCCCAGACUACAAGAAGUUCCUAAAGCUGGCAGGCACAGAAGCUGCGGAAGUCUGUUGGAGAACCAUGCAGAAAUGAAGGGCACUUCUCAGCUGGAUUCCUGGGUGAGGCACUGACCCAUGUACAGCCCUGGACUGCAAGGGGGACCCCAGGAGUGACUAAGGUUUCCUCCAAGAAGAAAAUGUCAUCGAUUUGGAAGUCGUCCAUCAGAAUGCCCUUCCCCGUUCCUGAGGACCUAACAGAAAGAGCAGAGCUUCUCACAUGUGGUGAAGAGAUUGAGGCAGAAGGAGGUGAAGUGACUUGCUCAGGGUCAUAGCCUGGAAGUGGUCAAGUUGGAAUUCAGCUUACAAAGAAGAACUCUAUAGGAAAAAAGGGAAUUAUGUAGCUGCAGCAUAUCUCUUCUUCAUCCUGCUCUGUGUCUGAACGUCUGGUGGAGCACGUGGAGGCCUGUGGAGACCGAUGCUGUUGAUCCAUGUCAUCUCCUCCGAGCACCAGUUGGCCAGGCAUCCUGGGACACCAGGGACACACAGGUGGCCCCUGACAGUCCCCUGACGGGGUGGGUCUUCUGCUCUGCUUCCUAUAGUCCACAUGUGAGUGAAACCGUAUGAUAAUUGUCUUUCUCUGAUUGAGUUACUUCACUCACCAUAAUACCCUCCAGUUCCAUCCACGUCAAUGUAAAUGGUGCUGCUUCAGAGAUGGAUUGUUUCACAUUUUUUUAUACUGGCUUUGAGGCCUUUGACUCAUGUUAUUGAGAAUAGAAAGGCAAUUUAGAAGUUCUAGGAGGUAUCCGACAAAAUGCUUUAAAAAAAGUUUUUAUCAUCCUUUUCUUGAAGUGAUAUUUUAUGUCACCUCCAUACAGAGUCAUGGUUACAUCGACUUUUUAUGCUGGGAAAAGUAUCUAUCACCGUUUCUAUCAUCUUCCACUUAUUAUUAAUUCAUCCUGAAUAUCUAUAAAGAAAGUUAUCUGCUUUCAAAUUAUGCAGAAUCCUAAUGACUUUGGUAGCUAUCAU